Molecule: RNA transcript, 1482 nt
Organism: Protopterus annectens (West African lungfish)
Lineage: Eukaryota; Metazoa; Chordata; Ceratodontiformes; Protopteridae
Gene name: probetacellulin-like
Exons: 7
Source: RefSeq, a predicted model, not a curated record
UAUGGGAAAUAUUAAUGAAACAUAGAUAUCGUCUGUUAUUGACUAAGUACCAGUUUCAGGUGCAUUGCCCUAAUUCAAGGUACUGUUCAUGCACCCUUCGUUAAACUGUAGGGCAGUUACGAACAGGGCUGCCUUAGUCUGUAGUAACUUAAUCGCGUAAAAAAUUGACCAUUCCAGUACUUCUUACACGGUCCCUUAGCCCAGCUCGUGCUACCUCCAAUUUAACUCUUAUUUUGGAAAGGCAGUUGCUUUGCCUGAGAAGGUGAACCUAGCUUUGUCAAUGGCUUGAAUAUGAUUGAAAAUCAAUCCACAAUGUGGUUCUGUUGGCUACUUUGUCUGGAACUUCUCAGAUGGUCUGAUGUGGAUUAAAAGAAAUAUACAGACUUGUCUUCUUUGCUGAUGAUUGCGUAAUUUAUAUGUUCAGUGGGUCAGUUUGCGAAUGUGAUCGCAGGGGGUCUACUGAUUAUUCUAGCUGUGAAACGAGGACUGAUGGUUUCCCCUAAUACAUGUCCUUUGUAAAAAAAGUAUUUAGUGCUACUUGUGUGCGUAGAAGUUUCACGCAGAAAAACUGAAUGUUGAAUUAUGGAGAAGACGUUGGAAACUAGCUUCAUUUUUCUUAUACUGUCUUUAACAGGGUUUGCUCUGUGUAGUGGCACCUGCACCCAUGGGAACUCCACUACUACAGAACCACUGGAAAUCGUGUCUAAACAACAUGGUGAAGUGAACUGUACAGAUAGUCCUGCACUUGUAAAGAGGAGUGAACAUUUCUGGGAGUGUCCACCAAAAUACAAGGAUUACUGUAUUCGAGGGAAAUGUAAAUUUGUAGAGGCAGUGAAGGUGCCAUCAUGCAUUUGUGAAAUGGGAUACGUUGGCUCAAGGUGUGAAUUAAUAGAUAUUUUAUAUUUAACAAGUGAACGAAGACAUAUUGUUGCCAUAAGUCUAGUUGCAGCAUUUGUGGGACUUGUCAUUCUAAUCAUAUUCAUAUGCCUUUGUGUACAUCAUUGGCGAAAGAAACACAGACAACCAGAAAAAUCAGAAGAGGCAGAAACUUUAGAAAUAAGACCAGCAGAAAAUAACAACAUUGCAGCUGGAAAUCAAGACACAAUAGUAUGAAUCCAGUUUGUCUUGCAGAGGAUGCAUUCACAUUGAAAGAAUGUACAAACAGGUUGGUAUGGAGGCACCUGCAGGCAGGUCUCGUUUGGAUGAAUGUGUUGCUGCUAUUCGGGCAAAAGUGUUGAUUCAGGAAUACAGUAACACCUCAUGUGCACUCGACUGUCUUUGUUGUAAAGCCAGCCACAGCUGCACAUGACUUUCUCACUGAACAUUUUUGUGUGCUGUGUAUUGAAGUUGCAUACUGCCAAACUGCAAUCCUAGCUUUCAGUUUUAGUGCAGUAGUAUAUGAAGUAUAUGCUCACAGAUGACAGUCUGUGAUACCACUGUAACUGUAAUAAAAUUAUAUUUUAAUAAAUAUUGCAGUUUGAA